CAGCUCCGCUUUCAGGUGGGCCGUCAUCUGGAAGGUUCCGUCGUGGUUGGGGAGGGUCUCUCCCAUCUCCACGUCCUCGUAGAGCUCCGUGCCGUCCUUCCUCCAGAAAAGGGCGGAUUUGUAGGGGUAGAAACCCGUCACGUGGCAGGUGACCGGAGAGGAAGGCGUCUUCUGGAGGAGAAACACCGUCGGAAGCUCUGCGGCGAGGAGGGAGAGAACGACUUAGGGGGGGCAAAGACGGCGAGAGAACACGUGGGAGGAGCAAAGAUGGAGAGAAAGUGCGAGAAGAACUUUGCAAGCAGAAAUGUGGGAGGAGAAAUCGGGGAGAGCAGGCGCAA
Hippocampus zosterae (dwarf seahorse) is the source of this 338-nucleotide long non-coding RNA. RefSeq lists it as uncharacterized. The record is from RefSeq and is a predicted model, not a curated record. The transcript has 3 exons. NCBI's taxonomy places the organism in Eukaryota, Metazoa, Chordata, Actinopteri, Syngnathiformes, Syngnathidae.